Molecule: long non-coding RNA, 7757 nt
Organism: Dermochelys coriacea (leatherback sea turtle)
Lineage: Eukaryota; Metazoa; Chordata; Testudines; Dermochelyidae
Exons: 2
Source: RefSeq, a predicted model, not a curated record
CGGCUAAGAAUGAAUUGAGAAGCAGGUUAACAUGCCACAGGUUUUCCUUUGCCAGUUUGGAUCACCCGUUUCCACUCAACUCGGCAGCAACAUAAGAACCUGACACACACAAACACCUCUUGACAAGAUCUUUUGUUCCUCACAGAGUGUGUACUACCCUCAGCAGGUUUCAUCAGGGGCUGAAGUAGGCUGGGGAGCCCAGAGGCACAUCUCUUCCUUCCCCUGACAGUGGGGGACCAAAGGGUCCCACAUGCUUGGAAGGGUAGUUUUUGUAUCAUAUUGCCUCAGAACCUAAGACAAAUGUGUCUCACCCCCUUUCUAGAGACAUCUGAACUCAUGAACUUGAAAUUUUCAUGUCUGUUUUUUUUUAAUUCAAGAUCCAUUUUAUUUUAUUCCCAACUCCAUAGUAUAUACACACUUAUCCUUACAUAUUUCUACCAUGUAAUUGAGAACAUUACCUACGAGAUAUGUUCCAGCUUCUAAAAGCAUACUACUUGAUUAAUCUAUGCAGAAAACAAUUCAGGGAUCCAAUGAAAAGCAAUAAAUAAAUAUUUAAGGCAGAGAGAAGUGAAACAACAUAUACAUAUCCAAAACAAACACUAUAUUCUGUGUAAUAAAAGACAAAUAAUCCUUUGAUUUCUCAGACAAACGUCUUCCCUAAGGGAUUAUAUAAAGUGUUUUUACAAAUCUAUUUAAAGAGAGCUAAAGCCCAUUGCUGGGGCAUUAGUCUUCAGUUUACCGGGAGUAGGAAGGAAUAUUCUUAUUAUUCCAUCAAUAUUUUCAACACAAGAUGCUUCAAUAAUGUAAUGCCACUUGUUAUCUUGCACUCUUGCUAACUUGCAUAUAUAUCAGGUCUGGUCAAAAACUUGGUUGAAGUUUUCUGUGAGAGUUUUGAUUUUUCAUAAACCCAAAACUAGAUUUUUCAUUGAAUUUUUCCACCAGGGGAAAAAAACCCAAAACAAAUCAAAACCAGAUAUUUUCCAGCCAGGUCUUAUAAUCAAAGACAUUUUAAAAAACAGUACAUUCAGACUGCCCACAAGAGAUGCAUAUUUUUGUGGGAGUGUCAAAUAGCACCACCUAUAUAUGUAAUUACCACUUCAGGGUUUACAUGCUUGCUCCUCGAAGUGUAUUUAUUAAUACACUAGAAAAAGGGGUCAACACUUGAGGUAUCAGCAUGAUACUUACAAGAGAAAUGGCAAGUAUGCAUUUAUAUUGUUUUUAUUUUCUUCCUUGUUCUACACCCAAGAAAAAAGGAGAUCCCAAACACUACAGCAACGAAACCAGAGUGUUGCACAAUUAAAUGCCAAUAGAGCCAACAGUACAACAGUUAAGGUUUCCUUCAGCAAUAUGGAUCAGUUUCUGUCUUCAGUUACCUCAGGGAAAAUACAGAGUAACUUCACUGAAGUCAAUAGACUUAUUCCAGGUUUGAGUGGUAUAGCUGAGAGUAGAAUUUAGCCUUAAGCAAUUUUUUCUUCACUGUUUGGAAGGGGUGGGUGAAUAUUUUGUCCAAACAAUCACAUUUGUCUUUCUUACUGAAAAGAACUGUUUAUCUCCCAAUCAUGUAUAUCCACAGGCUAUUUCUAUCUUCUUUUAUUAAUAUACACUAUGGAGGACUUCCUCUGCUGUUUCUGCAUAUUCUCUAGUAGGGAACAAUAAUUGGCAGUCAUCCUCUUCAUAUUUUUUUCUUGAGCCUCUUUGCUUUCAGCACAUUCUGGGAAUCUCAGCCCCUUGCUGCCAACAUCAAGAAAUCAGUACUGAGAUUCUAUACCGAGGAAGAGCUUUCAAAAGUGCCUAUUUGGUGCUAAGAAAAAAAAGCCAACUGCCAGCCUUCACACAGAAGGAGAAAUAAGAUGGUUUGUGAGAGACAAAAAUGACAGAACAAUGUGAAAAAUGCAUUACAUCAUGCUUAGGAUUUUUGCACUCCCAUAUGGAAGUGUGGAGGUGGGAAAGGGAAACCACAAAGAUAAAGCUUUCUAAAUAUUCUGUCAGUGACAGAGACAAAGAUGGGACAGACAAUAUUUCUCUUUAGCCUCAGAUUUCUCAGUUGGUCUUAAGAAGUUUUAUUUCUCAUCAUUACCAUUUAGACUUAUCUUAUGAGUCUCUUAAUCUCUUGCUACUAUCUUGCUUAUGGACAAUGAAACUACAGGUAGUCCCAAACUAAAGCCCUAUGACUAGACAUCAACUUUUUUUCCUCCUAAGGUAGGGUGGGGAAAAAGUGUGGAAACCCCAUUUGAAGUUUUUCAAAUAAGUCCUUGGCUCUAACAAGAAAUAAAGCAAGUGAAAAAAGUUAUAUACAUAUUUUAGAAACAGAACUCAUGUUAGUGGUGAUUUGACCUGAGUAUACAGAACAAUUGCUAACAGGACUCAUGUCCUGCUAUUCCAUCCCUAUGUCAUAUGACAACCUAGCUAUAUGGGAUUUUGAAUUAUUUUACUUUUGAAAAAGUUUGUUUCCCCAUAGGACCUAUUAGGGGAAUGCUAAGAUGCACAAAAAUUCCAUCUGCCACUGUUUAGAAAAUUGACUAGGGAGCUUAAAGUCUUUACCUACUUCAGUGGCAACAGGAAGGAGAGAUUUAGAAGAAAUAAAUGAAGACUACUAACUUAUUUGUCUAUUCCACUUCUUUGCUUUUAUUCCCCCUUGCUUCCCCACUUGGUAGCAGAGAUGAGCCUUUCCAAAUCUCUCCCCAUAAACAAGUUACCUUUAGAUUUCCAACUGUAGCAGAAGCCUCAGAGACCGUUUUAUUUUCUUGUCUCGCUAAACCACAUUAAGAUCUUUCUUAAAAAGGCAGAAUAGUGUGGCUGGCUGUAGUUUUCACUCCAUCAAAUAAUCACUCUUUUGUGCAGAAAUCAUUAGCUUCAAGGCUUGCUAGUGCAAACAACCAAAAGAUCAACCCUUAAAAGAGUUAUCCUAGGAGGCAAAGCUGCUCCUAGCUGGUUAUAUAGGGUGUAAUUAAAAGCAGGUGUGUAAUUGGCAAUGAGUUAUCUCACUCAGAGUCAGGUACCUGUGCCACUAGAGUAUAAAAUCACAGCUCUUGGCUCUUAAUGUAGACUAUGAAAUGAUGAAGUUCAUUAAGAAAUGUCUAGUAGAUGACAGGAGUAUGGUAAAAGCAAAUGACUGAUCCCCACAGAGGGGGUGAGUUGUUUGCUUAUUGUUUACUACUCUGCUAUGAGUCUCUCAUUUCUCCACUACAGUGAGGUGGGCAGCAGGCCACUACAAAAUAGCUUGAGAUCCUGAAUUUAUUUCUAAGGAGCCACUGAAUAUUACAACCUUCAAUGAUGUUGGAAAUUUAAGUCUUGUACUAUACAGCUAAAAGUACAGUAACAGAGACCCAUAAAAGGCAACAAGUCCCACAGCUCUACUCUGAUAUAAACAAAUCUAGUGCUAAUGUGUAGCUUACCUAAAAAUAUUCUCGGUAUGUUUAAGUUUAUGAGUAGUAGGUUCCUGGAAACGCUCUCCAUUCUGUGGCUUUGGUUCAGGAAAUCCCUUCUUACGAUCCCAGAUAGGCUUCACCUCCUCCUUAGGUGCUUUGUCCUUAUUAGCCUUGUCAUCUUUGAUCUGCUUGGGAGAUGUUAGAAAGCGUACAACCAAAAACAAAACAAAAAAUCAUAAUUAGACGUUGUGGAUGACUGAAAAGGAAAACAAGUUUCCCACCAUCAAUGGGCAACUGAACAACUGUCUUCAAAUGUUCUAUGGCAGGAAUAGGUUGUCAAGUUCUAAAAUGUGGCCUGCAACCAACCUCGCCUUCUGAUCUAUGUUAAAUAUGCAGGCAUCUGAAUUCAUCUACACUGUGUGCUAAUCUGCUGUGGCCUUGGAAAUCUCAAGCAUCCUUACUUCUCAUGCAAUCAAGCCAGUCUCUACCACUACCUUGCCCACCAUCCCCUUCCUGAUCAUGUGUCUGUUUAUUCACCUGUUGUGUAUUGUCUAAAUCAUAGACUGAGCUCUCUGAGGCAGGGAUUGUCUGGUUGGGGCCCUAGGCGCUACUGCAAUAGAAAUAAUAUAAUCUUAAAUUGAUUUGCACAAAGCAAGUGCAUGCUAUGUGGAUGUAGCCAAUACAUUCAACGGCACAGGAGGUAUGUGCUAUACGGACGUACCUAGGACUUUCUGUGUCACAGCAGGUGCAUACUACCUAGCUAUUACAAGUAUAGUUUGCAAUAGUAGUUAAAAAUUAUGUUUCAAAGCAAUAUUUGCUUUGAUAAAUGUGUAACUGGGGUUAUCAUCACCUGUACCCCAGUCUAAACAGUGACUAGUGGAGGAAGAUACUAUCGGAAGUGAAGCUCUUACGCCUAUGAAGAAGCAGAUGUUUUCUCUGGAAACAUUAAGGCAAGAUUUCCCCCCUUCCCCUACAAGCCUUUGCCCGACAUAAGUCAGACUAAGAUCCAGAAUCAUUAUGCACUAGUUUCACUCUCUAAACCCCACCCAGAAAAUUCUGGACUGAAAAUUAUUUAUUAUCACCACUGAUGGCCUGACCCCAGCAUGCUGAGUCAUGGUUGGAUGCUGAUGGAAAGUGCAGGAUAUGGCAAUUGAUUUCAGUUCUUCUGUUCUGUGGACAGAAUUAUUCCCACUAAGUAAAUUAGCUAAACCAGCAGCCAAAACAAGCUUUGAAUAGCAGUGGAGGAAAAUACCAACGUUAACCCAAGGAAGAUCUCCGUUUUCGCUUUUAGCUUUGCCAAAUUUGGGAAAUGCUCUGAUUGGCAGCCUGAAUAUCAUUUAUUUGGAGAAUUGUCUGUAAACCUUUAGCAAGCUGUACUAUAUUACUCUGCAUCCUACUGCCCUUCCAUCUGAUCUGAAAAGAAAAUAAAUCGUACACAGUCCUAUUCUAGGACACAUUUUAAAAAAAACGUACUCCAAGCUGCGUCUAGUGGAAAAGCCCAAACCUCUACACUAUUUCUAUCCUUCCUCCGCUCAAUGCGCCUUUCAAUAGCCCACCUCCAAGGCAUCCCCUCCCACUUUUCAAAAGCAGGAGCCUCAUGGGGGGAAGGGGGAUGCUUACAAAGCACCUGACAUGACUGCGCAGCUUGAAACCCUAAGACCUGUUCUGCCUGGAACUGGCAUUAAGUGCUGUUCAUACAAUGCCAGUACCACAAGUGACAGCUAUCAUGUGGUGUGGACUGCAAGUGUGUGUGGGUGGGAGGGGAUGAGUUUUCAUAUAUUCUGCGUGAAUUUGCUUCUGGUGAAAGAUGCCAGCUAUACAACUCUGAGAGAAAACUGCUCUGUCCUUAGAAUAGGCAGCAGCAAUGUAAGCUUCCCCUAUACUGCCCUUCCAAUGAGCCUCAAGGUAUGUCCACGCUGCAAAAAAAUGGUGUGUUCUGAAUUUGGAUUAGCUAACCCCAGUUAAAAUAGCAGUGAAGACAAAGCAACUCAGCUUUUAACUUGUGAUAGCAGCUCAACAUCAACCCCAGGCUCCCUAUAGGUUUUAACUUCAGCUGCUAACCCAAAUUAAAAGUAGAGUUGCAGCGUCUUUGCUGUUAACUCAGGUUAGCAGCUCGAGUUCGAGCCUAUAAUGGAGACUGGGGUUAAACCUGAGCUUCUAACCUGAGUUAGAAGCUGAGUUGAUGGAGUCUUCACUGCUAUUGUAACCCCAGUUCGGUAACCCAAGUUAAAAACACACCUUUUUGUGCGGUAGACAUACCCUCAGCUACGACCAAGUGGAAUCACGUUAAUAGGUAAGAGGGGAAUUCCGUUUCCAUGAUCACGCAUUCUUUGGCCUUGAUGCUGUGACUAGCAGCAGCCAAGCCUAUUAUUGCUAGGGGCAACAGUAGUGGCUUUGAAGAUGUGAACUCCUAACUUCUAGGAACUAGUCAGAGACAAUCAUUUCAGUAACUCACUCUAAUGAACAGUCAUCAGCUUGUAAUGUCUUUUGGUCACUCCCAAUCUGGGCAAGAUUUGAACCAGUGAUGUAAUAACAGGAAAAAGCUCUGGCUCUCAUUAGCAAUCCCCUGCACUACUCAAUCCCUUUCUGAGUGAUUUAGAGACCUGGGGUGUUGAUUGUUUCAGGAUUUCAAAUGCCAGGACUUCUGUUUUGGGAUUUUGAAAGGGCAGAAUUUCCUUUUAUGAGAUUUUCAUCAAGUCCCUUCUAAGUCUCAUUAAAAACCCAGUAUGUCAGCUGCCUGAGCUGCAGUCCCAGCUGGGGCAGGUAGUGUAUCUUACAUCUUAAUUGAAAUUGCUAAGAAAACUAAUAGUAAAAAAAUAUGCUUUUAGAAUUAACAGGCUAGGGAAUACCUUUUCAUGGGCUAAAAGGAUUUGAUUUAAAAGAUUAUGGUUUCUUACCAAGUGUGUGGGGGUGGGUGGAAGGAAGGGACACACACACACAAAUAAUAAACACAACUGGGCUUUUUGACUAAAAAAAGAAAGGAAGAUAAAAUAGGUUAUCAGAGAAACACGUCAAGGGUUUAGGGCCCAAUCCUGCUUCUGUUAAUUUUAAUGGAGAACAGCCAUUGACUUCAACAGAAGCAGGAAAUAGACCCUUUCAUAGCAGUGCACCCUAAAAGUGACAGAAUUAAACAUUUUUGUAUGCUUACACAUCUCAGUGAAUUAGGGAUCAAUCCAUCUGACGCUGAAAGGAAUGGAAAGGCUCCUACUGACUCCAGUGGAAUUAGAUCAGACCUGCAGUAGUAUCUUCAAAAAACACAGCCCAUCUCCUCCCACAGAUCCUGACCCUCAAAUCAAAUUGAACAUGACUGAAAUUUUUCUGGAGGUUUGUAAAUUGUUCAGCUAUUUUUAUUUUUGCACAUUUCUCCAUCUCCAGGUUCCUGCUAGGAAUGUAAAUUAGAACUUGAGAUGCAACAUUUCCACCCAGAGUUUGAACACCUCAAAGUUUUGGUUCUGUCAAUUAUAAAGAUCGCAAACUUUGGUUCCUGAUUUGGGUUCAAUUUUGGAAUGCCCCAAAAAGCUGUGGGCAUCUACAGCUACCUCUAGGUGGCAGCUGGGAGCAGGAUUCCUAGCUCGGGCAGACAGAGACACACUAGCUCUGCUCAAGCUAGUGUGCUAAAAAUAGCAGGGUAGCAUGGGUGGCAGCUCAGGCUAGCCACCUGAGUAGAAACCUGCACAGACCCCUUGGGUAUGUGCCCAAGCCGCUGCCUGUGCUACCGCUGGCUACGUUGCUAUUUUUAGUGCAUUAGCUCAAGAAGAGCUACCGUGUAUCUGUCCACCCAAGCUGGAAAGUGCAUGCCCAGCUGCAGUGUAGAGGUACCCUAAGGUUUAGGUUUGGGGCCCAUCUCUAUCAAAGUAGAGAUACCUAUAUACCAUGAGAAAAGGCUGCUUUUGCAGUAUGUUUAGCCAAACCGGAAGCGGGAGUCUCAUGUCAAGAGAAAACUUGUUCUGAUGAACUUUCCAGACCAAUUUUGCAGACCCAAAUGUUGGGACAGUUCAAAGAAGCGGCCAGACUUUUGGUUGCUAAAUUGAGUGAAACCUACACUGUGAGGGCCAGAUUCUGAUCUCACUUAAAGUGGAUGUGCACUGGUGUAACACAGGUACAUAGGCAUAAAUCUGAGGUAACAGAGAGAGGAGAAGAAUGCCCCCAGAUCUAGUCAGGCUUACAAUCUCGCAACCCUAUUAAUAACUACAUAACUUGUCAAAAUUCAGGCUUUGUUGAAUUUUGUGUAUCACUAUCAUGACAGGAAUGUACUGAAAGGCUGCUCAUCUUGCAGUAGUGAGAAUAUCAUUCUUGUCCUAAGCCAAAAAGCGAUGGCCAAGAUUUUCAAAAGGGACUAAUGAUUUUGGGUGUCCAACUUGAGACACCUUUUGGGAGGUGGGUGUUUAG